GCGCCCUUAGCUCAAUUGGAUAGAGCGUCUGACUACGGAUCAGAAGGUUGGGGAUUCGACUUCCUCAGGGCGCACCA
Molecule: transfer RNA, 77 nt
Filed under: Sporolactobacillus spathodeae
Lineage: Bacteria; Bacillati; Bacillota; Bacilli; Caryophanales; Sporolactobacillaceae
Also listed under: 1 other name
Description: tRNA-Arg
Rfam family: tRNA
About the family: Transfer RNA (tRNA) molecules are approximately 80 nucleotides in length. Their secondary structure includes four short double-helical elements and three loops (D, anti-codon, and T loops). Further hydrogen bonds mediate the characteristic L-shaped molecular structure. tRNAs have two regions of fundamental functional importance: the anti-codon, which is responsible for specific mRNA codon recognition, and the 3' end, to which the tRNAs corresponding amino acid is attached (by aminoacyl-tRNA synthetases). tRNAs cope with the degeneracy of the genetic code in two manners: having more than one tRNA (with a specific anti-codon) for a particular amino acid; and 'wobble' base-pairing, i.e. permitting non-standard base-pairing at the 3rd anti-codon position.
Source: RNAcentral